CCGUUCACUCUUCAGCUCAAUUG
This 23-nucleotide microRNA is filed under the name Pristionchus pacificus. Its description in RNAcentral is "ppc-miR-2238f-5p". Lineage: Eukaryota; Metazoa; Nematoda; Chromadorea; Rhabditida; Neodiplogasteridae. The record is from miRBase by way of RNAcentral.